This 543-nucleotide long non-coding RNA is filed under the name Capra hircus (goat). Its description in RNAcentral is "lncRNA (ENSCHIG00000002144.1)". The record is from RNAcentral. Lineage: Eukaryota; Metazoa; Chordata; Mammalia; Artiodactyla; Bovidae.
GUUCUUCAGGGAUCCACUGAAGGUAAUGGUCAUUGUAGAGAGAUGUUUCUGGAGAGGACAGAAACAAGAUUAAACUGACUGAGUGGAGCUCAAUUUGAACAACAGAGAAGAGAGACAGCGCUUUAGAUGACAUCACCCUUACGGCAGAAAGUGAGGAAGAACUAAAGAGCCUCUUGAUUUAUUCUGAGUGGAACCUGUCAGAGAUUUGAAAGUGUCUUCAGAAAGUAAAUAGAAAGAUAACAAAAACUGGAGAGGCUGAGAGUGGGAAUGGAGCCCAGAGGAAGAACUUCAGAUUCCAACAUCAUUGUCUAGUUCAGUAUAACCACCUCAAUUAUCAUCAGAAAAGAAAGUUUGCUGACCCCUGAAUAGAAGACUUCUGUAAAGUUCUUAACUGUGGGACAUCAGAUCUGUGCUGAUCUUCAAGUCUGGAAGAAUAAUUAGGUAAUUUCCUUACUGCUAUAUCUUUUAUAUAUAAAUUUUAUUGAGGUAUAGUUGAUUUACAAUGUUGUCUUAGUUUCAGGUGUACAGCAAAGUGAUUCUGUU